AUUGAACGCUGGCGGCAUGCCUUACACAUGCAAGUCGAACGGUAACGGGCCUUCGGGUGCCGACGAGUGGCGAACGGGUGAGUAAUGCAUCGGAACGUACCUUUCAGUGGGGGAUAACGUAGCGAAAGUUACGCUAAUACCGCAUAUUCUGUGAGCAGGAAAGCAGGGGAUCGCAAGACCUUGCGCUGAUUGGGCGGCCGAUGUCAGAUUAGCUAGUUGGUGAGGUAAAGACUCACCAAGGCGACGAUCUGUAGCGGGUCUGAGAGGAUGAUCCGCCACACUGGAACUGAGACACGGUCCAGACUCCUACGGGAGGCAGCAGUGGGGAAUUUUGGACAAUGGGGGCAACCCUGAUCCAGCCAUGCCGCGUGAGUGAAGAAGGCC
This 384-nucleotide ribosomal RNA is filed under the name uncultured bacterium. RNAcentral describes it as "bacterial SSU rRNA". It matches the Rfam family "Bacterial small subunit ribosomal RNA", at positions 30 to 416 of the family's 1533-position model. The record is from RNAcentral.